GACGAACGCUGGCGGCGUGCUUAACACAUGCAAGUCGAACGGAAAGGCGCUGCUUUUGUGGGGUGCUCGAGUGGCGAACGGGUGAGUAACACGUGAGUAACCUGCCCUUGACUUUGGGAUAACUUCAGGAAACUGGGGCUAAUACCGGAGAGGAGCUCUUGCUGCAUGGUGGGGGUUGGAAAGUUUCGGCGGUGGGGGAUGGACUCGCGGCUUAUCAGCUUGUUGGUGGGGUAGUGGCUUACCAAGGCUUUGACGGGUAGCCGGCCUGAGAGGGUGACCGGCCACAUUGGGACUGAGAUACGGCCCAGACUCCUACGGGAGGCAGCAGUGGGGAAUAUUGCACAAUGGGCGGAAGCCUGAUGCAGCAACGCCGCGUGCGGGAUGACGGCCUUCGGGUUGUAAACCGCUUUCGCCUGUGACGAAGCGUGAGUGACGGUAAUGGGUAAAGAAGCACCGGCUAACUACGUG
RNAcentral lists this ribosomal RNA (468 nucleotides) under uncultured bacterium. Its description in RNAcentral is "partial 16S ribosomal RNA". It matches the Rfam family "Bacterial small subunit ribosomal RNA", at positions 28 to 507 of the family's 1533-position model. The record is from RNAcentral.